GGCGCUAUAGCCAAGUGGUUACGGCGACAGAUUAGAAUCCUACAAUUGCUGAGCUUAUCUGUUCCUCUUUGAGGGCGCAGGUUCAAAUCCUGCUGGUGUCG
RNAcentral lists this transfer RNA (101 nucleotides) under Moniliophthora perniciosa FA553. It matches the Rfam family "tRNA". Rfam says of the family: Transfer RNA (tRNA) molecules are approximately 80 nucleotides in length. The record is from Rfam by way of RNAcentral. Lineage: Eukaryota; Fungi; Basidiomycota; Agaricomycetes; Agaricales; Marasmiaceae.